RNAcentral lists this long non-coding RNA (1761 nucleotides) under Mytilus galloprovincialis (Mediterranean mussel). Lineage: Eukaryota; Metazoa; Mollusca; Bivalvia; Mytilida; Mytilidae. The record is from RNAcentral.
GCUUAUUAUACACUAUUCAACCUGUUUAGGUGAGAAACAUGUCAACAUAAUUAAUAUAUUGAUGAAUUUGUGUAAUCUUCAAGUACGUAUAAAUGAGAUUAUAAAAUCGAUGACUUAUUGAUACGGGUAUAUAUGUUAACUAAUUAAUUAUCUUAUUCGAAACAGUCCUGAGAAAAUCAAAGACGAAAUAUUAAUUUUGCCGCCCUCAACAUUGUUUUAUGAUAAUUUAUUUGUGUGUAGUCGACUUGAUGCAUUCUGACCACAAUAAUCUCCAUGUAUCGAUUAGUGCUUACUUCUAUGAGAAGGUUAAAAUCAUUUGUUCAGUCAGUGUUAUUGUUACCCAAAUUUCUAUGCUAUGACGUAUAUUCUAUUUAAAGCAGAGUCAGCUACAUGUAUAUGUCAGCUUGUAUAUAAAAAUUGUAUACCAAAGGAACAUUUAUCAUUUGUAAUAAUAAAGGCCGUGUGUUUACAGAAUAUGUUUGUAUAGGAGAGAAUAAUAUAGAAUUUAGAAUGUUAUAUAUAUAUUUUAGGUUUAACAUAUGGAACAAUGGCAAGUUUAAUGAAGUUAAAAAAGAACAUACAAGAACUCGAACAUAGUUUUAAAUUUUAUUAGAGUAUUAAAUCAUCAGUGUUAUGUGUCCUAACCAUUUAACAUAUAAGUUUUCAUACUAUAGAGCCAAUUUUACUUAACGGCUGUGAAAAUUGGGGAAGGAUAGAUAUAUACUUAAAUGAUAUACACAAAAAUUGAGAGCAAAAUAAGCUAAAAGGUGACCUAUAGUUGUUAAAUGCUGUGUCAUUUGGUCUCGUGUGAAGAGUUGUCUAAUUGACUAUCAUCCAAAUCUUCUUUUUAUUAAAUGUAUUCUGGUGUUAUAAAACAUUGUACAUGUUUUGCACUUUAUCGGAACAAGGAAAAUUCCCUCUAUUCUUUUUAUAUUUUACCCCAUGUAUCUGUAUUAUCAUCGCCUUGUUAAGUCUACUUAAACGAUAUUGACACUAUAUGUUAAUGAACAUCAAACAAUAGUUCACCCUGUGCUGGAAAAAAAAGGAUUAUAUAUUAUUCUGGAUUAUGUCAAAUAAUUACAUGCAGUUUGCUACAUGUACAUAUACGUCAUACUAAACAAUUCUUUGAUAUAAAGUUCUGUCGUCUUUAAUUUUGUAUAAAACAUUUUUGGAAAGGAUUUUGUUAAGUUGUUGUACACUUUUAAAAGAAAAAACAAUCUAUCGGAAUUCAGUGAUUAUCAGUAAUUAAUUUUGAAACAAAAAGGGUAAAAGAUCUUAAAACAAAUACUCUAUCUUCAAAACUAAAAUUUUUUCAACACUAUGCUUAUGAAUAAUAGAAGUAGACCAGGAAUUAUUCUAAUUGUAAACUGUAUGAGCUGACUUUCCCCGUUUUAUUACCGAACAAUAUUUGUUUAUUAUAUGUAUUAAUAAUCAUAAUGAUAUUGUACUGUCUAUAUUUGUAAUUUGAUUGAUAGGCAUGCAAUGAGCCUAACAAUUAGAAAAGAAAUGGUACAUACAUAAAAAAUGAAAAUACCACUUUGUAAAUCGUUUGCCCAAAAAAAUGUUUUUUUUCUAGAUUUACCUACCCUAGAAACGUUCAAAUUCGUUUGAUUUUCUGAAUCUAUGUAUAAAAUACCAAAGCAGUCAUGAUGAAAUGGGGAUUAUAUAUUGAAAUUACGACAGAUACAAAACAACAUGCAUCUCUCGAUCAUAACAAGGAAAGCAAGGAAAGCAAUUAAACUAAGCCACAUAAAACCCGGG